UUUAAGUAGUUUAGAUAAAAUAAUGAUUUGUGGAGUCAUAGAAAUAUUAUAUAUCUUAAAUCA
Molecule: transfer RNA, 63 nt
Filed under: Anisolabididae sp. NS-2016
Lineage: Eukaryota; Metazoa; Arthropoda; Insecta; Dermaptera; Anisolabididae
Description: tRNA-His
Source: RNAcentral